UAUCUCUGUAGAGUCUGCAUAUCAAUAAGCGGAGGAAAAGAAACUAACUAGGAUUCCCUUAGUAACGGCGAGUGAAGCGGGAAGAGCUCAAAUUUGAAAUCUUCAAGGUUUUACCUUGACGAAUUGUAGUUUAAAGAAGUGUUUUCUGUUGGUGUUUUGGUAAAAGUUCUUUGGAAUAGGACAUCAUAGAGGGUGAGAAUCCCGUAUUUGACCAUUAUUUCCAGCUUUGUGAUACACUUUCAAAGAGUCGGAUUGUUUGGGAAUGCAGUCCAAAAUGGGUGGUAAAUUUCAUCUAAAGCUAAAUACUGGCGAGAGACCGAUAGCGAACAAGUACCGUGAGGGAAAGAUGAAAAGAACUUUGAAAAGAGAGUUAAACAGUACGUGAAAUUGUCAAAAGGGAAGCGUUUGACACCAGUGUUGUUUUUCCGAAGAUCAAUUACGAAUGGCUUGAUUCUGUGUUGUAUUGACCUUAUCAGCUUUCUUCACUUUUUUCGAGUCUUUCUUAAUGCACUUUUCGGUUAACAAGUCAACAUCAAUUUCUUUUGUUGUAAAAGAGUAUUCGGAAGGUGGCUUUCUUUUCGGAGAAAGUGUUUAUAGCCCUAUACUUCUACAAUCGGAGAGAUUGAGGUCUGCAGCGUAGAUCCUUCGGGGUUAGAUACACUUGUGCUAAGUUGUAGCUUUUCAUAGACAACUUGUUGACUAUGUUUAGUCAUGCGGCUUACUCGCUUGUGCUAUUUUACCUACGCUUAGGAUGUUGAUAGUCACAGCGUGUACA
This 775-nucleotide ribosomal RNA is filed under the name uncultured Neocallimastigales. Its description in RNAcentral is "partial large subunit ribosomal RNA". It matches the Rfam family "Eukaryotic large subunit ribosomal RNA", at positions 24 to 643 of the family's 3401-position model. The record is from RNAcentral. Lineage: Eukaryota; Fungi; Neocallimastigomycota; Neocallimastigomycetes; Neocallimastigales.